GCCUGGGUGGCUCAGUUGGUUGAGCCUCUGACUUCAGCUCAGGUCGUGAUCUCACAGUUCGUGGGUUUGAGCCCCAUGUUGGGCU
RNAcentral lists this transfer RNA (85 nucleotides) under Felis catus (domestic cat). It matches the Rfam family "tRNA". From Rfam's summary of the family: Transfer RNA (tRNA) molecules are approximately 80 nucleotides in length. Their secondary structure includes four short double-helical elements and three loops (D, anti-codon, and T loops). Further hydrogen bonds mediate the characteristic L-shaped molecular structure. tRNAs have two regions of fundamental functional importance: the anti-codon, which is responsible for specific mRNA codon recognition, and the 3' end, to which the tRNAs corresponding amino acid is attached (by aminoacyl-tRNA synthetases). tRNAs cope with the degeneracy of the genetic code in two manners: having more than one tRNA (with a specific anti-codon) for a particular amino acid; and 'wobble' base-pairing, i.e. permitting non-standard base-pairing at the 3rd anti-codon position. Lineage: Eukaryota; Metazoa; Chordata; Mammalia; Carnivora; Felidae. The record is from Rfam by way of RNAcentral.